AGUGAACGCUGGCGGUAGGCCUAACACAUGCAAGUCGAACGGCAGCACAGGAGAGCUUGCUCUCUGGGUGGCGAGUGGCGGACGGGUGAGGACUACAUCGGAAUCUACUCUGUCGUGGGGGAUAACGUAGGGAAACUUACGCUAAUACCGCAUACGACCUACGGGUGAAAGCAGGGGAUCUUAGGACCUUGCGCGAUUGAAUGAGCCGAUGUCGGAUUAGCUAGUUGGCUGGGUAAAGGCACACCAAGGCGACGAUCCGUAGCUGGUCUGCCUGCAUGUUCCGCCACACGGAAUCUGAGGCGGGAUCCAGUCUCGGACUGGAGGCAGCAGUGGGGCAGAGUGGACAAUGGGUGCAAGCCUUAUCCUGCAAUACUGCGUGGGUGAAGAAUAGGUUCGCGAUGAAAAGCGCUUAUGUUGCCAAAGAAAUCAAGCUUGCUAAUCCCCGGUUGUGAUGACGGUACCCACGGAAUAAGCACCGGCUAACUGCGUGCCAGCAGCCGCCGUAA
Molecule: ribosomal RNA, 506 nt
Filed under: uncultured bacterium
Lineage: Bacteria
Description: partial 16S ribosomal RNA
Rfam family: Bacterial small subunit ribosomal RNA
Source: RNAcentral